GCAGUGGUGGUUUAGUGGUAGAAUUCUUGCCUUCUAUGCUUCCAUGUGAGAGACCCAGUCUCGAUUCCUGGCCAAUGUA
RNAcentral lists this transfer RNA (79 nucleotides) under Loxodonta africana (African savanna elephant). It matches the Rfam family "tRNA". Rfam says of the family: Transfer RNA (tRNA) molecules are approximately 80 nucleotides in length. Their secondary structure includes four short double-helical elements and three loops (D, anti-codon, and T loops). Lineage: Eukaryota; Metazoa; Chordata; Mammalia; Proboscidea; Elephantidae. The record is from Rfam by way of RNAcentral.